GGAGAGGUGCCGGAGUGGUUGAACGGGACGGUCUCGAAAAUCGUUGUAUGCCGAUUGGCGUACCGUGGGUUCGAAUCCCACCCUCUCCG
Molecule: transfer RNA, 89 nt
Filed under: Planctomycetota bacterium
Lineage: Bacteria; Pseudomonadati; Planctomycetota
Also listed under: 1 other name
Description: tRNA-Ser
Rfam family: tRNA
About the family: Transfer RNA (tRNA) molecules are approximately 80 nucleotides in length. Their secondary structure includes four short double-helical elements and three loops (D, anti-codon, and T loops).
Source: RNAcentral